AUUAAUACUAUGGAUCAGGGUUUAAGUGUUGGUCGCGCUGACCCACUCACUGCCUGCACAGUUUUUGGAUUUGCUGGGCCUAUGGUGCCUUUAGCAGACCAGGAAUAAGAAUUACCCUGAUCAUGGCAUUACUUUUGAAAAUGCAUUCAAAAUGGCGUAUGCCCAGUAUUGUUUAGUAGCCACUUAGUCACAAACCCUGGCCAAAGUUAGUGUUGAGUUGAUAAGACCCAAAAUAAAAGCACAAAGAUGAAUGAUACAACCAGAUAGUAUGAG
This is a non-coding RNA of Pelobates cultripes (western spadefoot toad), 273 nucleotides long. The record is from the annotation of a GenBank genome assembly. Lineage: Eukaryota; Metazoa; Chordata; Amphibia; Anura; Pelobatidae.